ACCUCCUACAAAGGCGCAGUUGCAUUGGCCCGCUUGCGAAUGCGUAAGAACUGGAGGAAUAGAAAAUGAAUGGUGUGUUUCAUCUGAACUACCUGCGCUUUGCAGUUAGCAACUACACAAUCAGACAUUU
Molecule: small nucleolar RNA, 130 nt
Filed under: Danio rerio (zebrafish)
Lineage: Eukaryota; Metazoa; Chordata; Actinopteri; Cypriniformes; Danionidae
Description: Small nucleolar RNA SNORA38 (ENSDARG00000084004.2)
Source: RNAcentral